GUAUAGAGGGUGAAUUCUGCCCAAUGGUUGUAUAGUGAAACUGAGGACUAACGUCUAAAGCGAAACCCAACUGAAUGGCCGCGGUAACUCUGACCGUGAUAAUGUAGCACAAUAAAUAGCCAAUUAAUUGUUGGCGGGUAUGAAUGGAACCACGAGGAUCUUACUGUCUCAAGAGAAAAGCCGAUGAAAUUAUAGUUGUAGUGAAGAUACUACAUAAACAUUGUAAGACGAAAAGACCCUAUCGAGCUUUACUGGAUACCGAUAGCGUUAACUUAAAAUGAUCGAUAUAAGUAUCCUAAUUUUGAGUUAAUAAUUUUUGUUGGUAGGACAGUUUAGUUGGGGCGACUACCUUUGAAUAAGAAACGAAGGCGAGCUUAUGGUAUACAAAGCUAUCACAUUAGCCUGACAGUGAGGGGGACAUCCCUAGCUGGCACAAGGACAAGUCCUAUGUGGGCGAUAAUGACCCGAUAUUAUUGUCCAAAAUAAAUAUCGAAAGCGGAUAAAAGCUACCGUAGGGAUAACAGCGUAAUAUUGUCGGAGAGUUCUUAUCGAGGACAGUGUUUGCGACCUCGAUGUUGAAUUGCGGUGCCCUGGUGCUGUAGAAGGUACCUUAGGUUGGUC
RNAcentral lists this ribosomal RNA (621 nucleotides) under Alcyonium digitatum. Its description in RNAcentral is "partial 16S ribosomal RNA". It matches the Rfam family "Bacterial large subunit ribosomal RNA", at positions 1843 to 2577 of the family's 2925-position model. The record is from RNAcentral. Lineage: Eukaryota; Metazoa; Cnidaria; Anthozoa; Malacalcyonacea; Alcyoniidae.